Molecule: ribosomal RNA, 501 nt
Filed under: uncultured bacterium
Lineage: Bacteria
Description: partial 16S ribosomal RNA
Rfam family: Bacterial small subunit ribosomal RNA
Source: RNAcentral
AUUGAACGCUGGCGGCAUGCCUUACACAUGCAAGUCGAACGGCAGCACGGGUGCUUGCACCUGGUGGCGAGUGGCGAACGGGUGAGUAAUACAUCGGAACGUACCUUAUCGUGGGGGAUAACGCAGCGAAAGCUGUGCUAAUACCGCAUACGCCCUGAGGGGGAAAGCGGGGGAGCGAAAGACCUCGCGCGAUUAGAGCGGCCGAUGCCUGAUUAGCUUGUUGGUGGGGUAAAAGCCCACCAAGGCGACGAUCAGUAGCUGGUCUGAGAGGACGAUCAGCCACACUGGGACUGAGACAUGGCCCAGACUCCUACGGGAGGCAGCAGUGGGGAAUUUUGGACAAUGGGGGCAACCCUGAUCCAGCAAUGCCGCGUGAGUGAAGAAGGCCUUCGGGUUGUAAAGCUCUUUUGUCAGGGAAGAAACACCGGCUCUAACACAGUCCGGGAAUGACGGUACCUGAAGAAUAAGCACCGGCUAACUACGUGCCAGCCGCCGCCGUAA